CCUACGUGAGGCAGCAGUGGGGAAUAUUGGACAAUGGGGGGAACCCUGAUCCAGCGACGCCGCGUGAGUGAAGAAGUAUUUCGGUAUGUAAAGCUCUAUCAGCAGGGAAGAAAGAAAUGACGGUACCUGACUAAGAAGCCUCGGCUAACUACGUGCCAGCAGCCGCGGUAAUACGUAGGGGGCAAGCGUUAUCCGGAUUUACUGGGUGUAAAGGGAGCGUAGACGGCGAUGCAAGUCUGAAGUGAAAGGCGGGGGCCCAACCCCCGGACUGCUUUGGAAACUGUAUGGCUGGAGUGCAGGAGAGGUAAGUGGAAUGCCUAGGGUAGCGGUGAAAUGCGUAGAUAUUAGGAGGAACACCAGUGGCGAAGGCGGCUUACUGGACUGUAACUGACGUUGAGGCUCGAAAGCGUGGGGAGCAAACAGGAUUAGAUACCCUGGUAGUC
RNAcentral lists this ribosomal RNA (443 nucleotides) under uncultured bacterium. Its description in RNAcentral is "partial 16S ribosomal RNA". It matches the Rfam family "Bacterial small subunit ribosomal RNA", at positions 338 to 795 of the family's 1533-position model. The record is from RNAcentral.